AAAUACGGGAGGCAGCAGUGAGGAAUAUUGGUCAAUGGGCGUAAGCCUGAACCAGCCAAGUAGCGUGCAGGAUGACGGCCCUAUGGGUUGUAAACUGCUUUUUAAGGUGAAUAAAGAGGGGCACGUGUGCCCUGUUGCAUGUAGCCUUAGAAUAAGGACCGGCUAAUUCCGUGCCAGCAGCCGCGGUAAUUUUU
RNAcentral lists this ribosomal RNA (194 nucleotides) under uncultured bacterium. RNAcentral describes it as "partial 16S ribosomal RNA". It matches the Rfam family "Bacterial small subunit ribosomal RNA", at positions 333 to 528 of the family's 1533-position model. The record is from RNAcentral.